GCAGCUAACAUGCAGUCGAACGGUACAUUUAGCUUGCUACAUGGGAGAGUGGCGCACGGGUGCGUAAUGCGUAUGAAUCCGCCCUUAAUCUGGGGGAUAGGCCUAAGAAAUGUGACGAUUAACACCGCAUACGAUCUCCGUACAACAUUGUGCGAUGAUCAAAUCUUUAUACUGAUUAAUAUGGCCAUGCCUGACUUUAUUUAUUUGGCGAGGUAGCCGCUCACCAGCACCAAUAUGAAUAUGGGAUCUGAGAGGAAGACCCCCCACUCUGGCUGUGACACACGCACCACACUCCUACGGGAGGCAGCUGUAAAGUAUAUUGCUCAGUGGAAGCACCUCUGACCCACCCAUGCCGCGUGCGAGAAAACACCCCUCUUUGUCAUAAACUGCUUUUAUUCAGGAAUAAACCUACCUACGUGCAAGUAGCUGAAUGCACCGCCGGAAUAAGGAUCGCCUAACUCCUUGCCGCCAGCCGCGGCAAUACUGAGGAUCCAGCCGUUGUCCGGAUUAAUUGCGUUUAAAGGGUGCCUACGCGGCUUAUUAAUUCAGGGGUGAAAAACUGCGGCUCAUCCAUCGGAGAGCCCUUUAUACUGAUGAGCUUGAAUACUCUAGAGGUGGGCGGAGUGUUACACUUAGCGGUGAAAUGCUUAGAUAUGUCACAGAACACCACUUGCGAAGGCAGCUUACUAUGGUGUUAUUGACGCUAAUGCACUAAAGCGUGGGGAUCAAACAGGAUUAUAUACCCUGGUAGUCCACGCCCCCAACGAUGAAUACUCGCUGUUCGCGAUACACAUUUAGCGGCUAAGCGAAAGCCUUAAGU
This 820-nucleotide ribosomal RNA is filed under the name Pedobacter sp. 070605-23_D13_23. RNAcentral describes it as "bacterial SSU rRNA". It matches the Rfam family "Bacterial small subunit ribosomal RNA", at positions 46 to 865 of the family's 1533-position model. Lineage: Bacteria; Pseudomonadati; Bacteroidota; Sphingobacteriia; Sphingobacteriales; Sphingobacteriaceae. The record is from RNAcentral.